This 428-nucleotide ribosomal RNA is filed under the name uncultured bacterium. RNAcentral's name for it is "bacterial SSU rRNA". It matches the Rfam family "Bacterial small subunit ribosomal RNA", at positions 355 to 775 of the family's 1533-position model. The record is from RNAcentral.
UGGGGAAUUUUGGACAAUGGGCGCAAGCCUGAUCCAGCCAUGCCGCGUGUGGGAAGAAGGCCUUCGGGUUGUAAACCACUUUUGUCAGGGAAGAAACGGACUGGAUUAAUACUCUGGUCUAAUGACGGUACCUGAAGAAUAAGCACCGGCUAACUACGUGCCAGCAGCCGCGGUAAUACGUAGGGUGCAAGCGUUAAUCGGAAUUACUGGGCGUAAAGCGUGCGCAGGCGGCUUUGCAAGACAGAUGUGAAAUCCCCGGGCUCAACCUGGGAACUGCAUUUGUGACUGCAUGGCUUGAGUACGGUAGAGGGGGAUGGAAUUCCGCGUGUAGCAGUGAAAUGCGUAGAUAUGCGGAGGAACACCGAUGGCGAAGGCAAUCCCCUGGACCUGUACUGACGCUCAGGCACGAAAGCGUGGGGAGCAAACAG